Molecule: ribosomal RNA, 1331 nt
Filed under: metagenome
Description: bacterial LSU rRNA
Rfam family: Bacterial large subunit ribosomal RNA
Source: RNAcentral
AAAAAAGUAGCGAAGCAUGCUUACCGGCUGUCGAGAAAAGCCGCUAUUGCGUAUAUCACACCCGUACCGUAAACCGACACAGGUGGAUGAGGAGAGAAUCCUAAGGCCGGCGGGAGAAGCAUUGUUAAGGAACUCGGCAAAAUGACCCCGUAACUUCGGGAGAAGGGGUGCUCUUGAAAAAGAGCCGCAGAGAAUUGGCCCAAGCAACUGUUUAGCGAAAACACAGGUCUAUGCAAAACCGAAAGGUGAGGUAUAUGGGCUGACGCCUGCCCGGUGCUGGAAGGUUAAGAGGAGAGGUUAUCGAAAGAGAAGCCUUGAAUUUAAGCCCCAGUAAACGGCGGCCGUAACGAUAACGGUCCUAAGGUAGCGAAAUUCCUUGUCGGGUAAGUUCCGACCCGCACGAAAGGCGUAAUGAUUUGGGCACUGUCUCGACAAUGCACCCGGUGAAAUUGAAAUACCAGUGAAGAUGCUGGUUACCUGCGCCAGGACGGAAAGACCCCAUGGAGCUUUACUCUAGCUUGAUACUGGGAUUUGGUAUUGCAUGUACAGGAUAGGUGGGAGGCUGCGAAGUGAUGACGCCAGUUGUCACGGAGCCGAUGUUGGGAUACCACCCCUGCAGUACUGGGUUUCUAACCUGCGGCCGUAACCCGGCCGGGGGACAAUGUCUGGUGGGGAGUUUGACUGGGGCGGUCGCCUCCGAAAGAGUAUCGGAGGCGCUCAAAGGUUCCCUCAGAAUGGUUGGAAACCAUUCGAAGAGUGCAAAGGCAGAAGGGAGCUUGACUGCGACACCGACGGGUGGAGCAGGUACGAAAGUAGGACUUAGUGAUCCGGUGGUAUGAAAGUGGGAUUGCCAUCGCUCAACGGAUAAAAGCUACCCUGGGGAUAACAGGCUUAUCACUCCCAAGAGUUCACAUCGACGGAGUGGUUUGGCACCUCGAUGUCGGCUCAUCGCAUCCUGGGGCUGUAGUAGGUCCCAAGGGUUGGGCUGUUCGCCCAUUAAAGCGGUACGCGAGCUGGGUUCAGAACGUCGUGAGACAGUUCGGUCCCUAUCCGGCGUGGGCGUAGGAUAUCUGAGAGGAGCUGUCCUUAGUACGAGAGGACCGGGAUGGACUGACCUCUGGUGGACCGGUUGCACUGCCAAGUGCAUGGCCGGGUAGCCAAGUCGGGACGGGAUAAACGCUGAAGGCAUCUAAGCGUGAAGCCCCCCUCAAGAUGAGAUAUCCCAUAACGUAAGUUAGUAAGACCCCUUGAAGACGACGAGGUAGAUAGGUGAAAGGUGGAAGCACGGUGACGUGUGGAGCUGAUUCAUACUAAUAGGUCGAGGGCUUAAC